AUGAAAGAGUAUGCAGAUGCAGCUAGAUUUCGUGGUCAGAAUGGAUGGACGAAAGAAGGAUGGAAUUCCAUGACUACACGAUUGAAUAAUCAGUUUCCAAGAGCUAAUUUCAUUGUUUGUCAACUAAAAUUUAGAGAGCAGCGGUUGAAGAGAGAAUAUUUUGUUGUCAAAUCUAUUGUAGAGAAGAGUGGCUUCGGUUUUGAUCCUAAUACAAAAAUGUCAACAACCAUUGAUGAAAAACGGUAUGAAUUGAGCAAAGAACAACAAAAGUGGAGAUACAAAGCUUUCCCUUACUAUGAUGACUUGCAUGCAAUUUAUGAUGGUAAAACAUCGGAGGGGAAGGGUUGUAAGAGGACAACUGAUGUGGUUGAAGAGAAGUCCAGUCCGGCUACAUAUUUACCACAAGGGGAAAGCUUCACACAACAAGUCUAG
This 432-nucleotide ribosomal RNA is filed under the name Triticum aestivum (bread wheat). RNAcentral's name for it is "partial small subunit ribosomal RNA". The record is from RNAcentral. Lineage: Eukaryota; Viridiplantae; Streptophyta; Magnoliopsida; Poales; Poaceae.